CUUCAAAGUAGAGUCCAUGGACCACUGGAGGCAUACAUAAUCAUUUCCCGAAGUGUGGGAAGAACUCAUUAGACUUUUAUUUAUUUACAUUUAUUUUUAAAUUACCUUUAAAGAUUUCCUAUAUAUAUUUAUGUUUUACAUUCACUAAGACUUAUAAGCACUUAAUAUUGCCAGGCACUAUUCUAAGUGCUUUAAAAUUAUUACCAUUAUUUAACUCUUACAGCAACUCUGUGAAGCAGAUACUCUUACCAUACCGAUUUUACUGAUGAGGAAAUUGGGACGCAGAGAUUAUGAAAAUGAGAUCAUAUGGUGUUGGAAAUAUUUGAGCUGAGACUUAAACCCAGGAACUGAAUGCUGCUGACAAAACUACAUGAGUGAGGAAGUGGAUGCUUCCCCAGACGAGCCUCGGAUGAGACCACAGCCCCAACUCACACUUCAGUGCCUGCCUUGCAGAGGACCCAGUUCAGUUCCACUCAGCCUCCUGACCCAGAGAAAGUGUGAGAUAAUAAAUGCACACAGAGGCCUAUUCUGUUGAUAGGCCAAUGACACGUGAACAGGAAGGACAUGUCACUUCUAAGUGAAGCCUUUGGUUGAACGCAGUUGUGCUGUUUGACUCUCCAGCCCUCGGCUCUCUUGUUGUCAUGAUCAGGAAGGCCACGUGUUCCAGAUGGCACUGCUACAAGAUGGCAGAGCCCCUGUCGGCCGGGAUUACUGCAUCAUGGCUGCAGAGCCCUUGCCAACCCAAGUUG
Molecule: long non-coding RNA, 749 nt
Filed under: Equus caballus (horse)
Lineage: Eukaryota; Metazoa; Chordata; Mammalia; Perissodactyla; Equidae
Description: lncRNA (ENSECAG00000045319.1)
Source: RNAcentral